CGACGGUAGCAAAGCACGAGGAUGCUUGCAAAGUGAACAUCUCCCGUGGGAGAAAAAGGUGGCGCGGCAACCCAGAUGCAAAGCCCAGGCGGCGACCUGGACGGCGGUGCCCCCUCCGCGGCCACCACCGCCGCCGCCGCCUCCUCCUCCUCCUCUUCCACCCCCUCGCCAAUGGCGCCGGGAGGAGUCGGAGAGGGCAAUGGCCGUGGCCGGGCCCCGGAUGGCGUCUCCAGCAUGAACCCACGGCGGCCCCAGGAACUGCUGGAGGAGGUGGAGAAACUGCGGGAGGAGAACGACACCCUCAAGAAUGAGAUAGAUGAGAUGAGAACUGAAAUGGAUGAGAUGAGGGACAGCUUUUUUGAAGAGGAUGCAUGCCAGCUACAGGAAAUGCGUCAUGAAUUGGAGAGGGCUAACAAAAAUUGUAGGAUUCUACAGUAUCGCCUUCGGAAGGCAGAGCGCAAAAGGCUUCGUUAUGCACAAACUGGAGAGAUUGACGGAGAACUUCUUCGUAGUUUGGAGCAGGACUUGAAGGUUGCAAAAGAUGUUUCUGUGAGACUUCAUCACGAGCUGGAAAAUGUGGAAGAAAAACGCACCACCACAGAAGAUGAAAAUGAAAAGUUACGACAGCAAUUAAUAGAAGUAGAAAUUACAAAACAAGCUCUGCAAAAUGAACUUGACAAAAUGAAAGAGCAGUCCAUGAAAAGAAGAGGAAGCAAAGAUUUGCAGAAAUCAGAAAAAAAACAGCAGACUCCCACUGAGGAGGAUAAUGAAGAUCUGAAAUGCCAGUUGCAAUUUGUCAAAGAAGAAGCAGCUUUAAUGAGGAAAAAGUUGGCCAAAAUAGACAAGGAAAAGGAUAGAUUUGAACAUGACCUACAAAAGUACAGAUCAUUAUAUGGUGACUUAGAUAGUCCCUUACCAAAGGGGGAAGCUGGAGGCCCACCUACCACAAGAGAAGCCGAACUGAAACUUCGUCUGAGGUUAGUUGAGGAAGAAGCCAAUAUCCUGGGAAGGAAAAUAGUGGAACUGGAAGUAGAAAACAGAGGGUUGAAGGCAGAACUUGAUGACUUAAGAGGAGAUGAUUUCUCAGGAGCAGCCAAUCCCCUAAUGGGGGAACAGAAUGAAUCUCUCUCAGAGUUACGACAGCAUCUGCAGUUAGUUGAGGAUGAAACAGAACUAUUGAGAAGGAACCUGGCUGACGUGGAAGAGCAAAAUAAGCGCAUCACAACAGAGUUGAACAAAUACAAAUACAAGACUGGGACUCACGAUACUUCAAGGCAUCAUGACAGUGCCAAGACAGAAGCUUUGCAAGAAGAGCUCAAAGCUGCCCGCCUGCAGAUCAAUGAACUCAGUGGUAAAGUUAUGCAACUUCAGUAUGAGAACAGAGUCCUGAUGUCCAACAUGCAGCGCUAUGAUCUGGCCUCACAUCUGGGGAUCCGAGGCAGCCCCAGGGACAGCGAUGCUGAAAGUGAUGCAGGGAAAAAAGAAAGUGAUGAUGAUUCACGUCCCCCCCAUCGCAAAAGAGAAGGGCCAAUUGGUGGGGAAAGCGACUCGGAGGAGGUCCGCAACAUCCGCUGCUUGACCCCUACGAGGUCCUUCUAUCCAACACCGACAGGGUGGCAAAAAAGUUUCACGGACCGUCAGCAAAUGAAGGAUAUUCGCUGUGAGGCGGAACGCUUGGGCAAGACGAUAGACCGCCUGAUUUCAGACACAAGCACUAUCAUAACUGAAGCAAGAAUUUAUGUCGCCAACGGAGAUCUGUUUGGACUUAUGGAUGAUGAGGAUGAUGGCAGUAGGAUACGGGAACACGAACUUCUUUAUCGGAUCAAUGCCCAGAUGAAGGCCUUUAGGAAAGAGCUCCAAGCUUUUAUCGACAGACUAGAAGUUCCAAAAUCUUCAGAUGAACGAAGUGCAGACGAACCUUUGUCAGUGAGUCAGAUAAAAAGUGCAAGAGUUGUAGUUUCUGUAGCAAUCGCUGCUGUAAAAACACUGAAGACUAUUUGUUCGAAAACAAUGGGAACAAUCCUUACCUUCCAAAAUGUGGAUAAUAAAAGAACUAAAAAAACAAAUAUUCCCACCACUGAACCUGACUUCUGCUUAUCAGAAAAGGUCUUGUCCUUUCCAGAACCGGAAGCCCAUGCCCCAUGCCUUUCCUACUAUUUUAUGUUUGAAUUGAAAUGCUUCUGAAGGGAUUCUUCACAUACUUAAAGUGUAACCAGAAGGCAAUUGAUGAAUAUCUUUUGAAAAUAAGGCUGUUUAUAUAGCACAGUACAACAACACUCUGCAUAUCUCAGCUUCAGUGUGGUGUGACUUGCCAUGUCAGAAUCACUGCUCACCAGAAAUACAAAGCUUUUACGAAGAGAAGAACAGCCAAGCAAGGAUACAAAUUGAAAGAAAUCAAUGUGAAGGAAAGCUCAUCCUUUGAAAGUUGCAAAAUGUCCAGAUGUUCUCAGAAGUGAGAACAAUGAACGGGAUAUUUCACUGAUGGUAAUCCAAGAGUCAAGUUAUAACCUAUUAUGGGUGACCACAUUUGCAUUGAAGUUUUCUAAAGUGGCUAAAUGAGAAUGGUGCAACUUGACUCGCCUGACCACCAGAUCUAUAUGGGCUUCUGGACUGCUAUCAGCACUACCUGCUAUGAGAAGAAUAACUGAAGGAACUCCCUUGAACUUUGGCUGAGGGAUCUCAGUGAAGCUAGGUUUACUUUCCAUGACCACAAUCACUUCUGUUCAAGUGCACAUUGGUCAAUAACCUCACUUUUUGACAUGCUGGAGAAAUGAUGUUGAUUCUUAGAUCACCCUUCCAGUCUUCAGUGUUUUUAUCAAUGAGAGAAGGAUACCCCUCCCAUCACGCAUAUAUAUAGAUAUUUAGAGCUCAUGCAUGGUAAAUUUUCCUUUAAAUGACAUGCUAAGGUUCCUCACCUCCAUACAUUUUUAAACAUUAAAUACUGUAUAACUCUGUACAUUCCGACUUUUCCCACAAACAGCAGGAAGACAUGCUGUGUGCAUGAUCAUGUGUUUAUAGGUGCAUGUGUUGGAAUAGGAAGUAUUACUAGUCUGUAUUUAGAUGACACAAAAUUAAUACUAUUGAUGCUGAAAUUAGACAUGCUUAUUUGUAGGCAUACACAUAUAGAAAUGAUACAUUUUGUGGUUUAUUUUAUUUGAAGAUAUAUAACUCUGGCAACAGGUACUUUCAAAAUACCUUUCACAGGUUUCACAGAUCCACUAUUUGAAAUAAAAAAAAUGAACGCAUGCAUUUUUGUAAUUGUAACAACAGAGAAAAGGCGUUCAUAUAAUAUGUACUACUUAGCUCAGUGGAUUGAUUUCUCAUUUAUGCUUAAUGCUCUUUUCCUCUUCUUUACAUUACUAGGUCAAAGUGAGCUGUGCAUAUUUUUUUGACUUCACUGAUCUACCACUUUUAACUGCAUUUACCUUUUUCAGCGCACAGACAUUUGUAAAGACGAUCAUCUCUCUUAACAUUCUGCCACUCAUGGUAACCAGAGACUGGUUUUCAGUGGAAUUACUAUCCAGCAACACUGUUGCGCAAAGGAGAAAGAAGCAGGGCCAUAUCUGUACAACAUCUUAGGGCAUAAAUAAAUCUUUUAAGAAAAUUCAGGCUUUCUGGUAACACUUGCCUUGUGUCAUGAUGUUGGUGCCCCUACCAAGUACUGUAUACUCAGUGAUACGGAUGUGCUCAUUGGGAGCUCACCCAUUAUAAUGAAGUCCAGAUGUGAAGGAAAAUGAACCAUGUGACCGAAUGGGAUGGCCAUCAUAAAUAGCCAUCCCUAUUUUGUAGGGAUGGCUUUAUGCCCUGUGAAGUUUUUUUCUGUGUUUAAACAAGUUUCUUUUUAAAUAACCUAAAAGUAUUGUCUUUUAAAGUGGUGUCCAAGAAAAUGCAGUGAUGUACCCUUACCUGGUGAUGUCCAGGAGUGUGUUUUAAUUUCUGUAAUUCCCAAUCAGCACAGCCUUGUACUGAAGUCCAAAAUAUUUGGAAGUCGACAAAUAAAAGGCUAGUGUAUAUAGUCAAUACAAAUGUUCCACAGAUGUGAAAGAUACACCCAUGGAUGAUGCUAUAUUUUCCCCUGUCUUAUUGAUCAGCAGCCAUCAGGAGACAAGGUUAAUCUAUUUUGAACAAAAGCAAAACAGAAAGUGCUCGGUAGAACACAGUUCUGUAUUCUUCUACGUGAAUCUGUUUUUAUUUUUGCUUUUUAAGACUUCUAGUGGUCAGAUUAAUCAUAUACAUUCUUCUCAUUGAAAUGGUUUUAGCAAUUAGGAAGUUUUGCUUAUGAAUUGUGCCUAGUAUCCAGUAUAGAUAUGUUUAAGGUGCUUGGAAUCCAGACUGAUUAUUAGUUAUCACCUGUGAUAGAUUGUUUUAAUACAGUAUGUGUAUAGCCUGAUUGAUUUUCUCUUCCAACAGUCUAAAUGAAAUAACAGAUCCUAUUAAAAUGCCUGGCUAAGUGUCAUGAAAUGGGCCCUCUUCCACCUUUGAAUUCUCAUCCCCUUGGAAUUUCAUACAAGGAAGGAGCAGACAGCAUUCAACUAGCCUUUUUAAAAUGUUUCUCCACAAGAAGGCAAGAGAAUAGGCCUGUGUGUAUUAAAUAAACCAUUUCAUGUCAACAAAAGCUAAAUUCUGCAACCUGUGAACUUACAUGAGCUAAGCAAAUUUGUUUCUACAGGUAAUCCUCAACUAACACCACAAUUGAGGCCAACAUUUCCAUUAUUAAACAAGACAGUUGUUAAGUGAAUUUUGCUCCAUUUUACAUUUCUUGCCACAGUUGUUGAGUGAAAAAAUGGAUGGAGGCAGGCAACACAUACUGUUGAUCCCAAUAUUGGUUCCGAAUGCUCUGGAUAAGCCCUGGGAAUCACAAAAGGAAUGCUAGUGUAUUACAUGCAAUUUGUUUAUUAGAUUUCUAUAGUUGCCCAUCUUAGCAAGUAAUCUUCAAGCUGCUUUUUGCUUUCUUAAUUGAUAUCGUCCAGUAUCUGGCAUCCUGGCCUUGACUCUUUUCCCUUGCAUUGUUGCAAGGUUAGAUUAGAUUAGCAACUUUCCAGAUGUUGGAAGAAUAUGGUUGGAACCUGAGCAGGAACAUUCCAGCUUGCAACAAUUCCAGGUACCAAAUUGUAGACAUCGUUGUGGCUAUCAGCAAGACAUAGGGUAUCUGAUGCAGUAAAUAUAGUCUGCCUUCUCCCACAAAAGAAAAAGCCACUGAAGAAAAAUCCUUACCACAGACUCUUGAACGAAUUCAGCAACUAUGGGAUAAGAGGGCAAGUGGUCACAUAGGAUAUGAAUCUAAGAACAGAAAGGAAAGGGUAAGAAUGAAUAGUUUUCAAAUUGGGGAGGUUCCAAUGGAAUUCCUAGAAAUCAAUGCAGGGACAAGUAUUUUUAACAAUUUAAGUUUUUAUAAUUAAUGUUAUGACACCCAAAAGGUCAAUAACAGAAAUGAAUGAUUGUUUUUAAAAAAACUUCUAGUAUUAUAUAAAUAUAUGUUUGUUUAAAACUUUA
Molecule: non-coding RNA, 5493 nt
Organism: Pantherophis guttatus
Lineage: Eukaryota; Metazoa; Chordata; Lepidosauria; Squamata; Colubridae
Source: RefSeq, a predicted model, not a curated record